RNAcentral lists this transfer RNA (72 nucleotides) under Loxodonta africana (African savanna elephant). It matches the Rfam family "tRNA". From Rfam's summary of the family: Transfer RNA (tRNA) molecules are approximately 80 nucleotides in length. The record is from Rfam by way of RNAcentral. Lineage: Eukaryota; Metazoa; Chordata; Mammalia; Proboscidea; Elephantidae.
GCAGUAGUGUGUUCAGUGGUAGAAUACUUGCCUCCCAUGCAGAAGACCAGAGUUCAAUUCUCAACCAAUGCA